This 288-nucleotide ribosomal RNA is filed under the name uncultured bacterium. RNAcentral's name for it is "partial 16S ribosomal RNA". It matches the Rfam family "Bacterial small subunit ribosomal RNA", at positions 32 to 305 of the family's 1533-position model. The record is from RNAcentral.
AAUCAACGCUGGCGGCGUGCCUAACACAUGCAAGUCGAACGCGAGAGGGGCUUCGGCCCCGAUUGAGUGGCGAACGGGUGAGUAACGCGUGGGUGACCUACCUUCGAGUGGGGAUAACGUCCCGAAAGGGACGCUAAUACCGCAUAACAUCCUGCUUUUGAAUGGGUGGAGAUCAAAGCCGGGGAUCGCAAGACCUGGCGCUUGAUGAGGGGCCCGCGUCUGAUUAGCUAGNGGUUGAGGUAACGGCCCACCAAGGCAACGAUCAGUAUCCGGCCUGAGAGGGCGGAC